CUUUCGGGCGGGGAUUAGUGGCGAACGGGUGAGUAACACGUGGGCAAUCUGCCCUGCACUCUGGGACAAGCCCUGGAAACGGGGUCUAAUACCGGAUAUGACCGUCUGCCGCAUGGUGGAUGGUGUAAAGCUCCGGCGGUGCAGGAUGAGCCCGCGGCCUAUCAGCUUGUUGGUGAGGUAGUGGCUCACCAAGGCGACGACGGGUAGCCGGCCUGAGAGGGCGACCGGCCACACUGGGACUGAGACACGGCCCAGACUCCUACGGGAGGCAGCAGUGGGGAAUAUUGCACAAUGGGCGAAAGCCUGAUGCAGCGACGCCGCGUGAGGGAUGACGGCCUUCGGGUUGUAAACCUCUUUCAGCAGGGAAGAAGCGAAAGUGACGGUACCUGCAGAAGAAGCGCCGGCUAACUACGUGCCAGCAGCCGCGGUAAUACGUAGGGCGCAAGCGUUGUCCGGAAUUAUUGGGCGUAAAGAGCUCGUAGGCGGCUUGUCACGUCGGUUGUGAAAGCCCGGGGCUUAACCCCGGGUCUGCAGUCGAUACGGGCAGGCUAGAGUUCGGUAGGGGAGAUCGGAAUUCCUGGUGUAGCGGUGAAAUGCGCAGAUAUCAGGAGGAACACCGGUGGCGAAGGCGGAUCUCUGGGCCGAUACUGACGCUGAGGAG
Molecule: ribosomal RNA, 661 nt
Filed under: Streptomyces hydrogenans
Lineage: Bacteria; Bacillati; Actinomycetota; Actinomycetes; Kitasatosporales; Streptomycetaceae
Description: bacterial SSU rRNA
Rfam family: Bacterial small subunit ribosomal RNA
Source: RNAcentral